Molecule: ribosomal RNA, 33 nt
Filed under: Gymnopilus crociphyllus
Lineage: Eukaryota; Fungi; Basidiomycota; Agaricomycetes; Agaricales; Galerinaceae
Description: partial 28S ribosomal RNA
Source: RNAcentral
GAUGUGCUGCUUCUAAUCGUCCGUCUUGGACAA